UACGUAGGGUGCGAGCGUUGUCCGGAAUUAUUGGGCGUAAAGGGCUCGUAGGCGGUUUGUCGCGUCGGGAGUGAAAACCUCGGGCUUAACUCGGGGCUUGCUUUCGAUACGGGCAGACUGGAGGUAUGCAGGGGAGAACGGAAUUCCUGGUGUAGCGGUGAAAUGCGUAGAUAUCGGGAGGAACACCAGUGGCGAAGGCGACUUCCUGGCCUGUUCUUGACGCUGAGGCGCGAAAGCUAGGGGAGCAAACGGG
Molecule: ribosomal RNA, 253 nt
Filed under: uncultured bacterium
Lineage: Bacteria
Description: partial 16S ribosomal RNA
Rfam family: Bacterial small subunit ribosomal RNA
Source: RNAcentral